UCAUCAACUUCAUCAACAAUUUUAUCAACAGUCACUGCCUGUUUGGAGGAAAUAAGGGCAUGGAUGACUCAUAACUUUCUCCAGCUGAAUAGUUCAAAGACAGAAGCUAUCCUCAUUGGUUCCCCUCAUCAGAUCAGAUCAUCUUCCAUAACCUGCAUUACAUUCUCUGGCCAGGACAUUCCCCUAUCAUCAUUAGUCACCAAUCUUGGUGUCAAGUUUGAUCCUCAUUUAACCUUUGAGGCGCACAUUAAACAUCUUUGUAAAACAUCUUUUCUCCACCUCAGGAAUAUAGCCAGACUCCGCCCCACACUUACCCUACAUGAUGCUGAGAAACUCAUUCACGCCUUUGUCUCCUCAAGAUUGGACUAUUGUAACGCUCUUCUCAUCGGGAUUCCUAGCAAGAGCAUCCAGAAACUCCAGCACAUACAAAACAGUGCCGCUGGGAUCCUGAUGAGAGUGCGUAAAUAUGAACACAUCACACCAAUUCUUCGAUCUUUGCAUUGGCUUCCCAUUUCUGCCCGGAUUGAGUAUAAAGUCUCCCUUCUCACACAUCAGUGCAUCCAUGGCAAUGCCCCCAGUUACCUUCAAGAACUCCUAACUCCACAGACUUCAGCACGUUCCCUCCGCUCCACAAAUACCCACCGGCUCCGUCCCCCUAAGACUAAGUCCCGUACAAUUGGGGACAGAGCCUUCUGUGCCGCGGCCCCUCGGCUCUGGAAUGCUCUUCCUGAACACUUGAGGGCUCCACAAACGACAAAUGGUUUUAAAAAGGACUUAAAAACGUAUCUUUUUAAAAAGUUUUUCAAUGUUUAAAACUUUCUUCAUGUUUAAUUUUGUUAGUUUUAGUUGGCAGCUGAUUUUUAACUUAAUUCUUAGAUUGUUUUUUUUUUUUUUUUUUUUCUUUUAUUGUAGCACUUUGAGAUUUUCUUUAAAAUGUAAAGUGCUUUAUAAAUAAAAUGUAUUAUUAUUAUUAUUAUUAUCUACCCAGCGGUUUCAAAUCUCAUUGCUGUUAUUUUUCUUUCGAUCAUAUCUAUGUACACUAUAUUGG
Cyprinus carpio (common carp) is the source of this 1048-nucleotide long non-coding RNA. The record is from Ensembl. Lineage: Eukaryota; Metazoa; Chordata; Actinopteri; Cypriniformes; Cyprinidae.